This 547-nucleotide small RNA is filed under the name Pongo abelii (Sumatran orangutan). RNAcentral describes it as "retained intron". The record is from RNAcentral. Lineage: Eukaryota; Metazoa; Chordata; Mammalia; Primates; Hominidae.
AUUUUUGGAAAGGGGGAGGCGCUUUCCUAGUGGCUAAAUGACUUGUGGGGGGACCACAGUCUGGAGGGGGAGGCUGGCCUGCCUCCUGGCUGGAGGAAGAUCCACGAUGCUGCAGGUACUUACUACUGGCAUAUACCCAGCGGUAGCACCCAGUGGCAGCGCCCAACCUGGGAACUAGGAGAUGCAGAGGACCCAGGCACGGUAGGUGGAGUGUGAGGAGGAGGUCUGAGCCCGUGUGUGGACCUAGGUCUGCUGUUAAACUGACUAACUCCCACUCUACAGGGAACGGAGGGGAUCUGGGGACUGCGACCCCCCAAAGGGAGAUCCUUCUCCAGCCUGGAGAGUUCACUGGACCGGAGGUAACGGGUGGCCCAGGCAAAAUGAAAGGCUUGGGGUUCCAUGGUGUUCAAAAACGCAGCUGAACCCAUGGUCUGCUUUCCAGCCCAGGUUCUGGAUUCCGUCACAUGUUUUGGGUUCUGUUAUGUUCUUGGCUCUGUCCCAAGUUCUUAACUGUCAGUAUUUUGAGUUUUAUCCCUUGUUCUAAGCU